AAGUGUUACAGCUCUUUUAGAACUUGUCUAGGCUUGCUAGUUUUCACUGGAAAACACUC
Small nuclear RNA from Chlorocebus sabaeus (green monkey), 59 nucleotides. Its record names the gene U7. It matches the Rfam family "U7 small nuclear RNA". Rfam says of the family: Animal histone pre-mRNAs are spliced by a different mechanism than nuclear pre-mRNAs and self-splicing introns. Lineage: Eukaryota; Metazoa; Chordata; Mammalia; Primates; Cercopithecidae. The record is from Ensembl.